AAAUGCAGCAGUUACAUGUAGAAGUGAAACUGUUCUCUGGUCAUAGCAGAUUGCAGAAAACAGCUUUCAUGCCUCUUAGGAUAAAGAAACAGUCUCAAAAUUCAAUGUAAAGAAGCUCUCUUCAGAGCCUCAAGGCCGAAGGGAGCCACAACAAGGAGGCUGAAGAGCCGCAUGCGGCUCCAGAGCCGCCGGUUGCAGACCCCUGCACUAGGGGCAGUGAAGCCUGUGUUCCAAUCAGGGGGAUCCAUUACCCUUUCACGUCAGAGAGGAUAACAAGCAGCUAGAAAAGCGUUUCUGAAUUCAUUUCAACUGCACACCCCACUGAAAGAAUCCAAAGACCAUACAACUUGGCCAUAAUUACAGGAGCUAAACUGUUCCCAAACUUGUUCUAAUUGAAUUAAACCAUGUUAACAGUA
Molecule: long non-coding RNA, 416 nt
Organism: Mauremys mutica (yellowpond turtle)
Lineage: Eukaryota; Metazoa; Chordata; Testudines; Geoemydidae
Exons: 2
Source: RefSeq, a predicted model, not a curated record